This 637-nucleotide ribosomal RNA is filed under the name Staphylococcus aureus. RNAcentral describes it as "bacterial SSU rRNA". It matches the Rfam family "Bacterial small subunit ribosomal RNA", at positions 77 to 697 of the family's 1533-position model. Lineage: Bacteria; Bacillati; Bacillota; Bacilli; Caryophanales; Staphylococcaceae. The record is from RNAcentral.
AGCUUGCUUCUCUGAUGUUAGCGGCGGACGGGUGAGUAACACGUGGAUAACCUACCUAUAAGACUGGGAUAACUUCGGGAAACCGGAGCUAAUACCGGAUAAUAUUUUGAACCGCAUGGUUCAAAAGUGAAAGACGGUCUUGCUGUCACUUAUAGAUGGAUCCGCGCUGCAUUAGCUAGUUGGUAAGGUAACGGCUUACCAAGGCAACGAUGCAUAGCCGACCUGAGAGGGUGAUCGGCCACACUGGAACUGAGCCACGAUCAAAACUUAUACGGGAGGCAGCAGUAGGGAAUCUUCCGCAAUGGGCGAAAGCCUGACGGAGCAACGCCGCGUGAGUGAUGAAGGUCUUCGGAUCGUAAAACUCUGUUAUUAGGGAAGAACAUAUGUGUAAGUAACUGUGCACAUCUUGACGGUACCUAAUCAGAAAGCCACGGCUAACUACGUGCCAGCAGCCGCGGUAAUACGUAGGUGGCAAGCGUUAUCCGGAAUUAUUGGGCGUAAAGCGCGCGUAGGCUGUUUUUUAAGUCUGAUGUGAAAGCCCACGGCUCAACCGUGGAGGGUCAUUGGGAAACUGGAAAACUUGAGUGCAGAAGAGGGAAAGUGAAAUUCCAUGUGUAGCGGUGAAAUGCGCAGAGAU